This 322-nucleotide unclassified non-coding RNA is filed under the name uncultured fungus. RNAcentral's name for it is "partial contains small subunit ribosomal RNA, internal transcribed spacer 1, and 5.8S ribosomal RNA". The stretch from base 1 to 73 matches the Rfam family "Eukaryotic small subunit ribosomal RNA", at positions 1759 to 1831 of the family's 1831-position model. The record is from RNAcentral. Lineage: Eukaryota; Fungi.
GCAAACUUGGUCAUUUAGAGGAAGUAAAAGUCGUAACAAGGUUUCCGUAGGUGAACCUGCGGAAGGAUCAUUAUAGAAAUAUGGUCUCAAAACCAUUCUCCUGUGAUUUACGUAACUGUGUAUACUUUGGCAGGCUUUGGAUCGUUAUCGAUUCAACUUCUACGUUCGUACGAAUGUUUGAAGCUGGCCUGCCAGAGGUUUUCAUAAACACACACACACGUUUAAACUACUGUCUGAAAAUCUCUUUCGAGAGAAUAAAACAAAAUUAAAUACAACUUUCAACAACGGAUCUCUUGGCUCUCGCAUCGAUGAAGAACGCAGC